Molecule: ribosomal RNA, 383 nt
Filed under: uncultured bacterium
Lineage: Bacteria
Description: bacterial SSU rRNA
Rfam family: Bacterial small subunit ribosomal RNA
Source: RNAcentral
CGUGGGCUUGACAUGUUAGUCGUAGACUUGUGAAAGCUUGUCGUCACUUCGGGUGGACUAUCACAGGUGCUGCAUGGCUGUCGUCAGUUCGUGUCGUGAGAUGUUGGGUUAAGUCCCGUAACGAGCGCAACCCCUAUGAACUGUUGCCAGCGGGUAAUGCCGGGGACUCUGUUCAGACUGCCCAGAUUAACUGGGAGGAAGGAGGGGAUGACGUCAAGUCAGUAUGGCCCUUACGCCCAGGGCUGCACACGUGCUACAAUGUCCAGUACAAUGUGAACCGAGACCGCGAGGUGGAGGAAAUCUAUAAAACUGGGCUCAGUUCGGAUUGCAGGCUGCAACUCGCCUGCAUGAAGUUGGAAUCGCUAGUAAUGGACAUCAGUACG